GGAAGCUGUUACAGCUCAGAGGUGGUGUGGGGACUCAGGGACUCAUCCUGGCACUGUGGAUAGGGAAAACAAGGCCCAUAAUUUUAUUCAGUCAUAUUCAUAAUUUUGGUAUUCUGGUUUUUAAAUAUGCCUACACAUAAAAUUGGAUAUUACUUUUUCCAUUAAUAUUAAUCACUUCAUAUUGCUGUAGUCUUCAUAACCAUCUUUGUGUGUGUGUGUGUGUGUGUGUGUGUGUGUGUGUGUGUGUGGGGGUAUUGGGAAUGGGACCCAGGGCUUUGUGCAGGGCGAGACAAAUGCUCUAACACUGAGCUACAGCCCCAGACUCUUUAUUUCUCGUUUUGAUUCAGGGUUGUGCUAAAUUGCCCAGGAUGCUCUAGAAGCUUGGGAAGAACUCCUAGAACUCCUGCCUCAAUCUCUUGGGAUUUAUAGGCAUCCACCACCAAAAAUGGACUUAUAACCAUCAUUUUUUAAAAAAGGAUGUUUGCUUAUAAUUUGAGAACUUUAUUUUUUUCCCUUUUUAUUAGUGCCUGUUUGCAGCACAUACUGUUUACAGUCCUUGCAUACAUCAUUCCUUUCUUCAUGUCUGUCCCUGUCCUCCCUCCUGCUACCUUAAUCUCUUUUUUUUUUGGUACGCGAUCGAACUUUCGGGACCUUGCGCUUACAAGGCAGGCACCGGAACCACUGAGCUAAAUCCUUGGCCCUCCCCCUCAUCUCUUGAUCCCUAUAUCGCCUCUGAGAAAGAGCUGUCUCCCUGCUUACUAUUAUCUAUCUAUCAUUUUUAAGAUGAAUUACUGUUGAAUAGUUCUAUUGGGUCCAAUAUUUGGGUAUUUAAAUUGAUAUAAUUGUUUCAAAAUGCUGAAAAUGCUUAGGUCUCUUCAACCUGCUUCUCCCCAACCUCACAUUGUAUUUUCCACUAUUUAGGAACAGAUUCUCAGGAGUCAGAUUACUGGAAUGUGGAAAUGUUUUGUAAAAUUCUUGUUGUAGUAUGUACAUGUAACGCUCCCCAAGAUGAUUAUAAACCUCAUGAACUGCAAAAA
Molecule: long non-coding RNA, 1037 nt
Filed under: Heterocephalus glaber (naked mole-rat)
Lineage: Eukaryota; Metazoa; Chordata; Mammalia; Rodentia; Bathyergidae
Description: lncRNA (ENSHGLG00000043022.1)
Source: RNAcentral